RNAcentral lists this long non-coding RNA (2473 nucleotides) under Olea europaea subsp. europaea. Lineage: Eukaryota; Viridiplantae; Streptophyta; Magnoliopsida; Lamiales; Oleaceae. The record is from RNAcentral.
UGUUUCAUUUGGGGGGAGAAGCCGCAGGCACAGAGGAAAGAAAUCGAAACAGAGAUGAGAGAAGGAAGGAAGGAGAAAAAAAAAAUAGAGGAAAGGAAGGAAUAAGUGUUGGUUUUCAACUUUCAUUCACUAAUUCUCUUUAUUCUAUUUUCAAGAGGUAAGUAUAAAAUAUGUUAAUUGAAUUUUGGAAACUUUGCUUAAAUUUGAAGUUAGCAAGGUAGACUAUUUUAAAUUAUGGUUAUGGAAUUUUAUUGUAUGUGUGGUGCAAUUAAAAUAAAAAAUUGUUUAGUAGAUGGUAGAAAAAGAAAGAUUUAUGGAUGGGUGAUGAGAUUUAAGGAACCUGUUCUAUAGUUUCUUUUGACUUGUGGCUUAGUGAAAAUAAAUGAUAUGGAAGUUAUAUAAGUAGGGAUUAAGAUAAUUAAAUUGAUGCUCUUAGCUAGAGAAAUUGAUUAGCAACCUGUCUAUACUUAAAAUAUAUAGAUGAUGUGCAUGUUUGGGUUGAAGUUGUGAGAAACGAGAGAUAAAAGUGAAAUGGGUUUGAUGUUCUUGACCUUAAUCCUGGAUUAUGUAUUCAUAAUUUCCUAAUUACUUGAAUUAUAUGGGUUUAUAUUGGUGUUAAGGAUGAAUUUUUGCUUUAGACAGCUGGAUGGGGGGAGGGGAACUUAUAUGUGAACAAGUGGCCGUUUGGGUUCCAUAAAAUAAGAAUCCUGGACUUAUCUUUUAGGCUUCUUUUUAAUUUGAACAAGGCUUUGUGAUGGGUUUUGGUUUCAGUAAAUCGAAUAUGAAACUUACUAAAUAUAUGGGUGUUUCCAUUGAUUGGUAGGGAAAUAAAAGAAACAAACUGGAUUUGAUAGAAGCUGUCCAAUUGGUUAUGUUAUAUAUUUUUAGACAAGGAAGAACUAGAAAAGAAAUAAAGAUUAAGAAAUAGAGGAAUAGAAGUAAGAUGAGUAUUUGGGAAUCCAUAACCAAUUUGAAUUAAUAAAAUUUUAUUGUUAUUUCAGGAUUGAGGCUGUGAGGAUAUUCCAAAAGCAAAAUGUCUAAAUUAGCUUGAAGCCUAUAAUUUAGUGAGUGAAAAAAUAUAAAUAUUUUUAAAGUAUUUAUAAAUUAAGUAUAUUAUCAAAGUAUAUGCAAUUAUGUGUUCGAAUUAUAUGGUUAUUAUGGAUAUAUCUUUUAUUAUGAUACAUGUGGACUUUCAAUUAUUGUAUAUGGUACAUUGUGAAUUAUGUGAUCUUGAGAUCGACCAGAAAAGUGCCCGUUAUUAUAUAUUUCUUCUAGUUCAUAGAGGGGCUUUGGCCGUGUUCUAUACUACACUGAGGGAUCGACUGGGGAUGAAGGGGUUGUGACCAUGUACAUAUAGUUCACUGAGGGGCCUUGACCGUGUUCUAUAAUUGAUUAUCAAAGGUCUUUGAGACCCGCUUUCAUCAUGGAGGGGCCCAAAGGCCUAUGGCAAAAGUGCUUGCCUGAUGGGUGGAUUUAAGAUUUUAGCCAGAGAGUACAUUUUUGAUGGAUCACAUGUGAUGAGAUGAUUGUAUAGAUAUUAGCUGAUGACUAUAUCGUGAUUAAGAGAUGAUAUUUACAGUGAUAUGAGUAUGUCUCACUUUUUUUCUAUAAUUGUACGAGGCUAUCAUGUGAAAUAUUAAAUGAUACGAACUCGAUGUUUGAUAAAAAUGUUUAAAGGAGAAAGUAUGAUUAUUUUGCGAACUAUUUCACUCACCAAAUUGUCAACUCAUAUUUUUCUAAAAUUAUUUUUACAGGGAAUAUUGGUCUUUGGUAGUUUGAGGAGCUUGGUGAUUUCAAAGUUAGAGCCACACGACGUGUUGAAGGAUAUGAGUCAAAUAUGAUUAAACCACAAAGUAAAGUUUUGGGCCCAUUGCACUAUGUUUUUAUAAACAUUUAACUUUAUUGCAUAUCUUGUAGUAACUAAUAGUGAGCCUUGAUAAUGGAUUUGACAUCUAGUCAGCAUCUAUUAUCAGCGCAUGCCACAUUUCGGGUCCACUAGGGUGAUUCGGGACCAGUCGUGUCAUGGUUUUAAAAAUUUUUAUGGUUCGUGCAUGUUCAGUAGGUAUGUUUACAUGUCGUGGUGGCAGAAAUCACAAGCUCUCUAACUCGAAUGUUUGGAACAAAAAAUGAUAGAUAUUUUUUUUUUUUUUUUUACAGAUUUAGAAAUGACUAGUAUGUAAGUGUGGUAGUUGUAGUGAUCCGAUGGUUGGAAAUGUUAUAAGUUGUUGGGUUGGAACUAUGUGUGUGUAACCUAUUAAGAUUUGAAUAGAUUGUGAUGAUUUUACGGGCAUUCGAAGUUAUAGAUGUUACAAUCACUUAAUUAUCAAUUUAUUUGUAGAACUACAUGAUUUUUUUUAUGUGUACAUAGGAAAAAUUUUAGUUAUAGCAUGCAAGAUAAAUAUAGGGAAAUGAUAUAAUGUGUGAUUGGUGAUAAUCAGUGAGGAAUUUUAAUUAUUUUUGAAGCCAAAUGGUC